GACGAACGCUGGCGGCGUGCUUAACACAUGCAAGUCGAACGGAAAGGCCCUGCGUUUGUGGGGUGCUCGAGUGGCGAACGGGGGAGUAACACGUGAGUAUCCCGCCCUUGACUGUGGGGUAAAUUCAGGAAACUGGGGCGCAUACCCGAUAGGAGCUCCUGCUGCACGGUGGGGGUCGGAGAGUUUCGGCUGUUGGGGAUGGACUCGCGGCUUAUCAGCUGGUUUGUGGGGUAGUGGCUUACCAAGGUUUUGACGGGUAGCCGGCCUGAGAGGGUGACCAGCGACAUGGGGACUGAGAUACGGACCAGAAUCCUACGGGCGGCAGCAGUGGAGAAUAUGACACAAUGGGCGGACGCGUGAUGCAGCAACGCCGCGUGCGGGAUGACGGCCUUCGGGUUGUAAACCAAUUUCGCCUGUGACGAAGCGUGAGUGACGGUAAUGGAUAAAGAAGCACCGGCUAACUACGUG
Molecule: ribosomal RNA, 468 nt
Filed under: uncultured bacterium
Lineage: Bacteria
Description: partial 16S ribosomal RNA
Rfam family: Bacterial small subunit ribosomal RNA
Source: RNAcentral